Gasterosteus aculeatus aculeatus (three-spined stickleback) is the source of this 1546-nucleotide long non-coding RNA. Lineage: Eukaryota; Metazoa; Chordata; Actinopteri; Perciformes; Gasterosteidae. The record is from Ensembl.
GAAAUGUUCGUCCUAUCCGAGAGCGCCAUUGCUCAACCCGCGUUACACAGAAACCGUGCCGAUGAAUUAAAUAUCAUGGCAUCACGAUCCGAGGUUCGGGUUUCCUUUCUUCUGUGGCCUCUGCGCUCCUUGGUAACGGUGGUCAUGACAACCAGCCAGGACACAGGAAACGAGAGAGCAGACGGGAUGAUACACAAAAGGGAAGCAAAGGAAGGUUGACACAUACCAAUGAUGGCUUUAGAGACGGGAAUGGACGACACCACAGUUGAUAUAUUAUCAGCACCACGUGGGAUUGUGUAUUGAAAAUAAUGAAUUCAUUGGAAAUCCCUUGAAUGAUCUGGUUCGAGCGCCGGCAUUCUAGUGUGGUGAAGACCAGAGAUCCUCAAGCCCGCACACCGACUCGGUUUGAAAGGCAGUUCAGCGCGACUUCAUGCACUGAUCAGAGAGCAGAACACGGGCCUGUAGCGGCAACGGGAUAUCGUCGCGCCUCGUUCAGCUGUUCUAAGAUGACCAGGUGUGAGGAAACGUACAGAUCAUGAAUGUUUUACCGUUCUUGGUAACGGAGGGAUUGGUUUACCGUACCUGGUGAAGAAUGCCAUCUAGUGACCAGAUACAUGCACAUCAGGACAUACUGUAGGAGUCCCAUCAAUGACGAGAACACAGCGGCUACAGUAGGCAUAAAAUACCAAUUUAUUACUUUGCACAGUAACACAAGAAUUCCCUGCAGGCUAAAAAAAAGAAAAGAAAAGAAAAAAAAAAAAAAAGUAUUUCAAAAUGUCACAAAUAGCAACAACAGCAAGUGAUGGGCUCUCUGUUAGGGGGCGUAGCGAGAACAUACCCGGCCCCCCUCACACGGGUCAGAAAGGGUUCCGUUUGUUCAUAGAAUUGGAGCGUUCCAUUCACAGAAAUGGAAUGUUACAAUUCUAUGAUUCUAUUGCUGUCAGACACUCACAGAGACCACUAGCAGAAGAAAAAUGAAACUAACAGAGCAGAGCUAUAACAACCCCCCCCCCUCCCCAAAAGGAACCAAAGGGGGAAAACAAAAAAAGAAUUGGGGAUUGUUUUUAAAAAGGUUAAAAAGAGGUAAUCCUGCUCCCUUGAUGCCAUGGGGACCCCUUCACAAAGAGGAAGUGCAUUUGUGAGGGGUCUGCAGAGUUGGAGACAGGAGAGCCCCUCGUCCCCAUCAUGAGGCUUGGCCGCGGGUACAAACCAGGAACGAGGGGACAAAGUGGACACUCGCUACGGUAACCUGGCAGAGAGGAGAGGGGUUCGGCCUCCAACGGGUCCACGUUUGAAGAAAGUACCUCGUUUGAAUAUGGACACGAUGCGAAGAGCCGGGCCCCCUCCCCUCAGAAAAGAGCAUGUACCUUCCAAAUCAAUGACAUUUGUCUAGGAAUCUUUAAAAAGCGCCGUGUAAGACACUUGACAGAUAUUGCUAACCUAAAACAGUCCCACUAAAUUGAUAAACAUUCAACCCCCCCCCCUCCCUCCCUCCCAGAAGUUUUUUUAUUUUUUUUUUAACCUCUCUUAAUAAAUAUGAUUCCCC